GGAUGUGGGGCGAUCUGGCUGCCACAUCUGUCACCCAGUUGAUCGACAGGGUUGAUUGGGCUGAUAGACUGGCUAGGCUGAUGUCCCCUUUCUCCCUCACUCCUCAUGUGCGCCCCCCCCCCCAAGCUGAGGGCCCUGUCUUUGGUCAAGGGGAUAGGAGUAGCUGUGGUCCCCUGCUAGAACCUCCAAACAAGCUCUCAAGGUCCUGCCUCCCUCCCUCUCUCCCU
Molecule: small nuclear RNA, 227 nt
Filed under: Mesocricetus auratus (golden hamster)
Lineage: Eukaryota; Metazoa; Chordata; Mammalia; Rodentia; Cricetidae
Description: 7SK RNA
Rfam family: 7SK RNA
About the family: 7SK was discovered as an abundant small nuclear RNA in the mid-70s but a possible function has only recently been suggested. Two independent studies have found that 7SK RNA binds the CDK9/cyclin T complex (known as elongation factor P-TEFb).
Source: Rfam by way of RNAcentral